RNAcentral lists this ribosomal RNA (432 nucleotides) under uncultured bacterium. RNAcentral's name for it is "partial 16S ribosomal RNA". It matches the Rfam family "Bacterial small subunit ribosomal RNA", at positions 338 to 795 of the family's 1533-position model. The record is from RNAcentral.
CCUACGGGUGGCAGCAGUCGAGAAUUUUUCUCAAUGGGGGAAACCCUGAAGGAGCGACGCCGCGUGGAGGAUGAAGGCUUUCGGGUUGUAAACUCCUGUCAUUUGAGAACUAGUAUCAGAAGAGGAAGGGACGGCUAACUCUGUGCCAGCAGCCGCGGUAAUACAGAGGUCCCAAGCGUUGUUCGGAUUCAUUGGGCGUAAAGGGUGCGUAGGUGGCGCCGUAAGUGGGGUGUGAAAUUUCGGAGCUUAACUCCGAAACUGCAUUCCAUACUGCGGUGCUUGAGGACUGGAGAGGAGACUGGAAUUCAUGGUGUAGCAGUGAAAUGCGUAGAGAUCAUGAGGAAGACCAGUGGCGAAGGCGGGUCUCUGGACAGUCCUGACACUGAGGCACGAAGGCUAGGGGAGCGAACGGGAUUAGAUACCCUUGUAGUC